UACGUAGGGGGCGAGCGUUGUCCGGAAUUAUUGGGCGUAAAGAGCGUGUAGGCUGUUCGGUAAGUCUGCCGUGAAAACCUGAGGCUCAACCUCGGGCGUGCGGUGGAUACUGCCGGGCUAGAGGACGGUAGAGGCGAGUGGAAUUCCCGGUGUAGCGGUGAAAUGCGCAGAUAUCGGGAGGAACACCAGUGGCGAAGGCGGCUUCCUGGACCGGUUCUGACACUGAGGAGCGAAAGCGUGGGGAGCGAUCCGG
Molecule: ribosomal RNA, 253 nt
Filed under: uncultured bacterium
Lineage: Bacteria
Description: partial 16S ribosomal RNA
Rfam family: Bacterial small subunit ribosomal RNA
Source: RNAcentral